Molecule: ribosomal RNA, 814 nt
Filed under: uncultured bacterium
Lineage: Bacteria
Description: bacterial SSU rRNA
Rfam family: Bacterial small subunit ribosomal RNA
Source: RNAcentral
GCAAGUCGAGCGCGCCCUUCGGGGUGAGCGGCGGACGGGUGAGUAACGCGUGGGAACGUGCCCUUUGCUGCGGAAUAGCCACUGGAAACGGUGAGUAAUACCGCAUGAGCCCUUCGGGGGAAAGAUUUAUCGGCAAGGGAUCGGCCCGCGUUGGAUUAGGUAGUUGGUGGGGUAAUGGCCUACCAAGCCGACGAUCCAUAGCUGGUUUCAGAGGAUGAUCAGCCACACUGGGACUGAGACACGGCCCAGACUCCUACGGGAGGCAGCAGUGGGGAAUCUUAGACAAUGGGCGCAAGCCUGAUCUAGCCAUGCCGCGUGAGUGACGAAGGCCCUAGGGUCGUAAAGCUCUUUCGCCUGUGAAGGUAAUGACGGUAGCAGGUAAAGAAACCCCGGCUAACUCCGCGCCAGCAGCCGCGGUAAUACGGAGGGGGUUAGCGUUGUUCGGAAUUACUGGGCGUAAAGCGCGCGUAGGCGGACCAUCAAGUUGGGGGUGAAAUCCCGGGGCUCAACCCCGGAACUGCCUCCAAAACUGGCGGUCUGGAGUUCGAGAGAGGUGAGUGGAAUUCCGAGUGUAGAGGUGAAAUUCGUAGAUAUUCGGAGGAACACCAGUGGCGAAGGCGGCUCACUGGCUCGAGACUGACGCUGAGGUGCGAAAGUGUGGGGAGCAAACAGGAUUAGAUACCCUGGUAGUCCACACCGUAAACGAUGAAUGCCAGUCGUCGGCAAGCAUGCUUGUCGGUGACACACCUAACGGAUUAAGCAUUCCGCCUGGGGAGUACGGCCGCAAGGUUACAACUCAAAGGAAUUGACGGAA